Molecule: unclassified non-coding RNA, 95 nt
Filed under: Kaistella antarctica
Lineage: Bacteria; Pseudomonadati; Bacteroidota; Flavobacteriia; Flavobacteriales; Weeksellaceae
Description: Chryseobacterium antarcticum Flavo-1 RNA
Source: RNAcentral
ACUGCAGCCCGACUUGAACGAAGCUCUUUUUAAUUGGUGGCUGAGCUUGUCGAAGCCAGCAUUUAAAAAAGCGGAAGUGGAAGGCGGAAAUGUCU